GACGAACGCUGGCGGCGUGCCUAACACAUGCAAGUCGAACGGACGAGGAGGAGCUUGCUUCUCCAAGUCAGUGGCGGACGGGUGAGUAACGCGUGAGUAACCUGCCCUUCAGAGGGGAUAACGUCUGGAAACGGACGCUAAUACCGCAUGACAUAUUUCCAUCGCAUGGUGGAGAUAUCAAAGGAGCAAUCCGCUGAAGGAUGGACUCGCGUCCGAUUAGAUAGUUGGUGAGGUAAUGGCUCACCAAGGCGACGAUCAGUAGCCGGUCUGAGAGGAUGAACGGCCACAUUGGGACUGAGAUACGGCCCAG
Molecule: ribosomal RNA, 310 nt
Filed under: uncultured bacterium
Lineage: Bacteria
Description: bacterial SSU rRNA
Rfam family: Bacterial small subunit ribosomal RNA
Source: RNAcentral